This 408-nucleotide ribosomal RNA is filed under the name uncultured bacterium. RNAcentral describes it as "partial 16S ribosomal RNA". It matches the Rfam family "Bacterial small subunit ribosomal RNA", at positions 28 to 526 of the family's 1533-position model. The record is from RNAcentral.
GACGAACGCUGGCGGCGUGCUUAACACAUGCAAGUCGAACGAAGUGGCGAACGGGUGAGUAACGCGUAAUCAACCUGCCCUUCAGAGGGGGACAACACUUGGAAACGACUGUUAAUACCGCAUAGUGAAGGAGGGGAAUGCGUCUGAUUAGCUAGUUGGAGGGGUAAAGGCCCACCAAGGCGAUGAUCAGUAGCCGGUCUGGGAGGAUGAACGGCCAAAUUGGGACUGGGAAACGGCCCAGACUCCUACGGGGGGGAGCAGUGGGGAAACUUCCGCAAUGGACGAAAGUCUUGCGGAGCAACGCCGCGUGAGUGGUGACGGGCUUCGGGUUGUAAAGCUCUGUUAAUCGGGACGCGGUACCGGAAUAGAAAGCCACGGCUAACUACGUGCCAGCAGCCGCGGUAAUUC